UAGGGAAUCUUCCACAAUGGACGCAAGUCUGAUGGAGCAACGCCGCGUGAGUGAAGAAGGUUUUCGGAUCGUAAAGCUCUGUUGUUGGUGAAGAAGGAUAGAGGUAGUAACUGGCCUUUAUUUGACGGUAAUCAACCAGAAAGUCACGGCUAACUACGUGCCAGCAGCCGCGGUAAUACGUAGGUGGCAAGCGUUGUCCGGAUUUAUUGGGCGUAAAGCGAGCGCAGGCGGAAGAAUAAGUCUGAUGUGAAAACCCUCGGCUUAACCGAGGAACUGCAUCGGAAACUGUUUUUCUUGAGUGCAGAAGAGGAGAGUGGAAUUCCAUGUGUAGCGGUGGAAUGCGUAGAUAUAUGGAAGAACACCAGUGGCGAAGGCGACUCUCUGGUCUGCAACUGACGCUGAGGCUCGAAGGCAUGGGUAGCGAACAGG
This 429-nucleotide ribosomal RNA is filed under the name bacterium. Its description in RNAcentral is "partial 16S ribosomal RNA". It matches the Rfam family "Bacterial small subunit ribosomal RNA", at positions 355 to 776 of the family's 1533-position model. The record is from RNAcentral.